RNAcentral lists this ribosomal RNA (255 nucleotides) under Acinetobacter baumannii. RNAcentral describes it as "partial 23S ribosomal RNA". It matches the Rfam family "Bacterial large subunit ribosomal RNA", at positions 541 to 799 of the family's 2925-position model. Lineage: Bacteria; Pseudomonadati; Pseudomonadota; Gammaproteobacteria; Moraxellales; Moraxellaceae. The record is from RNAcentral.
AAAUAGAUCCUGAAACCGCAUGCAUACAAGCAGUGGGAGCACCUUCGUGGUGUGACUGCGUACCUUUUGUAUAAUGGGUCAGCGACUUAUAUUCAGUAGCGAGGUUAACCGUAUAGGGGAGCCGUAGAGAAAUCGAGUCUUAAUAGGGCGUUUAGUUGCUGGGUAUAGACCCGAAACCAGGCGAUCUAUCCAUGAGCAGGUUGAAGGUUGGGUAACACUAACUGGAGGACCGAACCCACUGUCGUUGAAAAGCCA